RNAcentral lists this long non-coding RNA (251 nucleotides) under Lathyrus oleraceus (garden pea). Its description in RNAcentral is "Pisum sativum (pea) long non-coding RNA (PSAT_LNC000752)". The record is from RNAcentral. Lineage: Eukaryota; Viridiplantae; Streptophyta; Magnoliopsida; Fabales; Fabaceae.
UGAUCGAUAGUUCGGUGGUGUUAUAACAAAAUUCACAACAAUUAUUAUAAUGAAAUUCACACGUACUAUAACAAUAUAUAACUUUGUGUUUAUACUAUCAAAUCAUAGUAAUAUUAUUAUUAUAAAAAUCAUAAAGAAUGUUGGUAAAUAGGCUUCUACAAACAUAUUGAAAAAGUACUAUUAUCAAAAAUAAAUCUCUUAAAAAAUUAUCCAGAAUUAACCACUUCAAGCAUUGCAACAACAAAAUCCUG